Non-coding RNA from Pimephales promelas (fathead minnow), 763 nucleotides. Lineage: Eukaryota; Metazoa; Chordata; Actinopteri; Cypriniformes; Leuciscidae. The record is from RefSeq and is a predicted model, not a curated record.
AUGUGUGGACUGUGAAAGACAAAAAAGAACACCCAUUAAUAAGACAAGUAAGUUUCUCUCAAAGAGAAAUCAAAAAUUUCCUAAGCCAUGUUCCCAUUCUUCUCUUCUAUUUUUUCCAUACUUUGGAAGUCAAUGGGGUCAAUCAACUGUUUGGUUACAAACAUUCUUCAAAAUGUCCUUUUUUGUGUGUUCAGCAGAACAAAGAAACUCCUCGAGGUGUGGAAGAACUUAAGGAGGUGGAGUAUCCCUUUAAGGAAGCCCUGAAUAAUCAGGAUCCAUCAGGAGCACAAACGUGUUCUGUGAGACACAUGUUAAAGUGAGGCAGCAAGAGCUUUCAGACACACCUGCCGGUGACGCAGGAGAAGGGAUCUUUGGUCUCGAUGACUUCCACUAACCGUGGCUUCGUUCGGCUUCCUAGUACCCACACGCCACAUAAAUAAUCUGACCGCACAGCCACAUGACCUGCACACAGAUGUUUGACAUGCAAUAAUUUGACAUAGCAUGUAAUUGACAUUGAUUUUUUACUCUGACAUGAAGACAUUUUACCAUCAAUGCAUGAAUUUUAUUGAUUACAUUAGUUUGAUCGGUGAUCAAUGAUUCUUUCCAAAUGUAAGCUUUGUUCUCAGCCAAACCAUUUCCCACAUCUCACCUUCUUCUUCCAUUUUGCCAGGACUGAUCUGUCUGAUAGAGCCUUUCAAAUAAAACACACUAGGUUGGGGUUGCAGGACAAAACUAGGAGGCUUGUCGUCAUUAAAAUGUUGCA